GUACAGUUGUCUAAAUCUAAAAGACCGCCAAAUAUUAUUUUUUAAUUAAAUGACUCUUGACAGGCACUAACACAUAUAGUAUAACAUAAAAUAUGUAUGCAUGUACUCUAUGGGAGGGUAGGAAAAUAUGUUUUAUUUUUUAUGAUAUAAAAAAAAAACUAUCAUCAUUUAUCCUUAUCACAGUCCACCAUGUCUGAGGCUCAAUAUUUCUCAAAUCAGUGUUAUUAUUAAAAAGUUCAACAACUUGUUGGUAACAGUAGGUAAUAGUAAGUAUCAUCGGUAAAAUCAGCCAUUACUAGGUACCUACCUGUUGAAUUGGGUACGUAUAUUCAAUGUACCUAAUUUAGUGAUAUGUUUAAGUGUUUUAUAGUUGGAGUAUUGCAUUCAGUGUUUUGACUUGUCAGUUGUUAAGUUGUUUUAGUCAAUCCAUCACUACAGCUAUGAAUGAACAUGAAAUUGUUCCGGACGUUAUCAGCGUUGCACCCAGUGAAAUAAUAAAAGUAUAUAGUUUUAUGUCAUUAACAAACCCGAGAUUUUAGAAACCCUCAAAACUUAACAAUUAUAUUAUGUUACAUUAGUAUCUACCCAAUUUGAAUUAGCGUUUGUUACUUAUCUUAAUACUAGGUGUUUUUCUCAGGAAUUUUGUAAAACAUUUAAUUCUGUAAAACUACUUACCUUAAGUACAACAAAUUAUUUAAAAUUGAAUUAAUAACCUCGGGGUGUGAGACAUAUGAUGUUACAGGUUUAGCAAACUUGGGACCUCGUUUUCUUACUGGUGGAAAGUCCAGGUGGGUGAUUCCAGUAGGUAAAUGGUAUUAUUUCUGUAAGGUGGAGAAAUUCACUUUUUACAUGUAAUAGGGACAAGUUGUAGUUGACAAUACCAUUCUCCGUGUGUGAAGGAAAUAAAAUACUACCACGGUAUCUCUCUUUGUUGAAAGAGAUGAUACAUGGAAUUGUGUCAGAUUUCAGGUUGACAACUGGUGUAAAAUUCUGUCAAACUGUUAUGAGGAGUUCUAAAUUAGACUUAGGCGGAUUGUCCCAUCUUGGAUAUACUUGUGGACAACAGGUGAGAGGAAGUACCAUGAUGCAUGAUAUUUUCAGAUGA
Non-coding RNA from Cinara cedri, 1105 nucleotides. The record is from the annotation of a GenBank genome assembly. NCBI's taxonomy places the organism in Eukaryota, Metazoa, Arthropoda, Insecta, Hemiptera, Aphididae.